RNAcentral lists this ribosomal RNA (459 nucleotides) under uncultured bacterium. Its description in RNAcentral is "partial 16S ribosomal RNA". It matches the Rfam family "Bacterial small subunit ribosomal RNA", at positions 338 to 795 of the family's 1533-position model. The record is from RNAcentral.
CCUACGGGGGGCAGCAGUGAGGAAUAUUGGUCAAUGGACGAGAGUCUGAACCAGCCAAGUAGCGUGAAGGAUGACUGCCCUAUGGGUUGUAAACUUCUUUUAUAUGGGAAUAAAACAGGGUAUGCAUACCCUCUUGUAUGUACCAUAUGAAUAAGGAUCGGCUAACUCCGUGCCAGCAGCCGCGGUAAUACGGAGGAUCCGAGCGUUAUCCGGAUUUAUUGGGUUUAAAGGGUGCGCAGGCGGGAGAUCAAGUCAGCGGUAAAAUGUCGGGGCUCAACCCCGGCCGGCCGUUGAAACUGGUUUUCUAGAGUUGGAGAGAAGUAUGCGGAAUUCGUGGUGUAGCGGUGAAAUGCAUAGAUAUCACGAAGAACUCCGAUUGCGAAGGCAGCAUACCGGCUCCAUACUGACGCUGAGGCACGAAAGCGUGGGGAUCGAACAGGAUUAGAUACCCGAGUAGUC